Molecule: long non-coding RNA, 1169 nt
Organism: Xiphophorus couchianus (Monterrey platyfish)
Lineage: Eukaryota; Metazoa; Chordata; Actinopteri; Cyprinodontiformes; Poeciliidae
Exons: 2
Source: RefSeq, a predicted model, not a curated record
UCAAACACUGUUUCAUUAUUGAACUUGUUUGCUCUGUGAUGCUUAAUUUUUUUUUUACAACACUAUGUUUAGCAGCAAAUGAGGAAAUGCAGAAAAAAAAUCCGUCACAGUCACAUGCAUGAUGUUAUCUUAACCUUUAGAUACUCCUUGACUUAUGCCUGAUUAGUAAUUGCUGAAUCGAAUUUUGUAAUUGCAUUUAUUCAGACAAAUAGAAACAAAAUAAGUGUGUCUUUUACCUGUGAUUAUGUUCUGUUUUAUCCAGAUUACUUACAUUAGAGGAAAUUAUUCAUUAGCAACGAGAUUUUGAACUCACAAAGGAAUGUUUGUCCAGUAUCCAAAGGCACAUUCUGGAGAAACUGACUCAGAUUUCUUUUAAUUUACUCUGUCUUUGCACCAUACUGACAGGUUGUAGCAUUAAUGGUUACUGUCCCGGUUUAUCUUAUAUGACUCCGAAGAAUGGUAUCUUUCUCUAAAUCACACAUGGAAUCAGUUGUUUGCUGAAGAUGGUUGUAUCACCGCCUCAUUAACCACAAGCAGCACCACAGCAUUUCCUGUAUGUAACAGUCAGGCAGAUGCAUGGGUUGAAGAGCCAAUCCACCUCUGCUUUUUUUUUUUUCAACAUAGAGUUAAACGUAAGAACAACAACUCCAAAUAUUUAGAUUUGGAAUCUGAAUCAACUUCAUAUAUAGGAACUUUAUACAUGUUUUGAUAAACAAACAUUUUCUCGCAAUUAUGCUGAUAAAGCGAUAGAUUUUAUGUAGAUGUUAAAGUUCAUAACAAUGUGAGCACAUCCAUUGUAAGAUCUGUUGCAUUAUUCCAUAAUUUGAGCUGGGAGAAUAAUAAAUAUUGAAUGAAAGUGGUCUGAUAAUGGAGCCUUGGAGAACUUCAUAGCUAAUUGUUGUGCACUCAGUUUUAUGAUUGCCAAGUGACCAAAGUAAUCAUGGGUAUACCAAAGCUGCUGCUGCUCCUUUGCAUCAGAAGGGGUCAUUCUGACACGGUUUAAGUAUCAAAGCCUCAUGAACUUCUACCUUUGGAGGUUUUCUACCUCUAUUCCACAAGGAAGACAGAGUAUUGAUUGGAGAUUAAUACAUCCCUUAGAAAAAGCUUUAAAGUGUUGUUAGAGACACUGAGGGAUUUGAAAUGGCCUUGUUAACUUUACAGCUAGACCU